AUGAGUGUGGGUCCGCGACUCCUAUCGAUCCUUGAAGACUUGGGGGACCGCGAGCUGGACACCUUCGCUUACUACCUGUCGUGCUUGCCGGAAGAUGCUCGGCGCAUCCCUCGCUCAAGGCUUGAGAAUAUCUCCGCAGUCAAACUUGCUGACCUGAUCAUGCGAUUCUACCCUGAGAGAGAGUUGGGAGUCACCGCCCAGAUACUCGAGAAGAUGCACAGGCGCGAUCUCCUCAAGGCACUCAGAUGUGACACGCAAGCAGCAGAUCCCCAUCCCGGGGGGGCUAAUGGCGGAGGACAGAUUCCGAGUAGGGAAGCCCCAGAAAGGCCAGUUCCAUCCGAACUUAUCUCUCAGGCACAGAUGAUGACAUUGGCCAAAAACAUGGGCAAGACAUGGAAGCAGAUUGGGAUUCAGUUCCUAGGAAUGAAAAAAGAAAAACUGGAGCAGAUUGAAUUGGAAAAUCACAAUGACGUGCCCAUGCAAAUCUUCCACAUGCUGUGUGCUUGGAAAAACCGCGAGAGAGGACAGGCUACUGCAGCUGAGCUGUACCGCAUCCUCAACCAGGAAGGUGUGCCUCUUGAGUACGAAGCUUAUGGAUUCCUAAUGGGGAAUGACUGAAAAUGUAUUUAAAUGUAUUUGAGGGAUAGACAGGAAAUGGACUUCUCUAAAGCCCCAGUCAGAUGGGGGGACUAUAGUGCCAUUAUGUCGCCACUGUGGUGGGAUUGCCACACAUGUGUGUGGCAGUCCCACCAUAGCUAUGCUACACACACCCCUAAAAUACAUGAUAGCCUAUUUCGGGAAAAUCCGACUCUGAUGGCGGGUUUCCCAAAAUAGUGCUUUCAGUUAUGUUGUAGACGGACUCACCAUUGUUGUUCUGGCCACCGCGCAUGCAUGUGGGCUGAAAAAAGACAGCCGUGCAUGCGCGGUGGUGGCGUCACGCACAUCCACCAUGCACGUUUGUGCACUUCCAGGUAUUUCGUGAUGUCUAGCCAACAGGUGAUCAUUCCAGAGAGGCUUUUCUCUGGAACACUGCCUGUUGGNGCUAUAUUCAGCUGGCAUCUGGAGCCGGCCAAACAUUCAUAUUCACUUGAUAUAAAAAGCCAUGUGUGCCGAUGGUGCUGGAACAAUAGAUUAACAGGCGUCAUAUGGAGAAUUGUUAACAGUUGUAACCCCUAUCAUAGGGAAUAAAGAAGGACAUAAUGUGAGGCA
Molecule: long non-coding RNA, 1209 nt
Filed under: Salvator merianae (Argentine black and white tegu)
Lineage: Eukaryota; Metazoa; Chordata; Lepidosauria; Squamata; Teiidae
Description: lncRNA (ENSSMRG00000002214.1)
Source: RNAcentral